Molecule: ribosomal RNA, 396 nt
Filed under: uncultured bacterium
Lineage: Bacteria
Description: bacterial SSU rRNA
Rfam family: Bacterial small subunit ribosomal RNA
Source: RNAcentral
UAUUGGACAAUGGGCGCAAGCCUGAUCCAGCCAUGCCGCGUGAGUGAUGAAGGUCUUAGGAUUGUAAAGCUCUUUCACCGGGGACGAUAAUGACGGUACCCGGAGAAGAAGCCCCGGCUAACUUCGUGCCAGCAGCCGCGGUAAUACGAAGGGGGCUAGCGUUGUUCGGAAUUACUGGGCGUAAAGCGCACGUAGGCGGAUAUUUAAGUCAGGGGUGAAAUCCCGGGGCUCAACCCCGGAACGGCCUUUGAUACUGGGUAUCUUGAGUGUGGUAGAGGUGAGUGGAAUUGCGAGUGUAGAGGUGAAAUUCGUAGAUAUUCGCAGGAACACCAGUGGUGAAGGCGGCUCACUGGACCACAACUGACGCUGAGGUGCGAAAGCGUGGGGAGCAAACAG